Molecule: ribosomal RNA, 408 nt
Filed under: uncultured Methylomirabilota bacterium
Lineage: Bacteria; Methylomirabilota (SeqCode)
Description: bacterial SSU rRNA
Rfam family: Bacterial small subunit ribosomal RNA
Source: RNAcentral
CGUGGAGACAGGUGGUGCAUGGUUGUCGUCAGCUCGUGUCGUGAGAUGUUGGGUUAAGUCCCGCAACGAGCGCAACCCUUAUGAUCAGUUACCAGCGGGUGAAGCCGGGGACUCUGGUCAGACUGCCGGUGACAAACCGGAGGAAGGUGGGGACGACGUCAAGUCCUCAUGGCCUUUAUGCCCAGGGCUACACACGUGCUACAAUGGGCGGCACAAAGGGAAGCGACGCCGCGAGGUGUAGCAAAUCCCAAAAAACCGUUCUCAGUUCGGAUCGGAGUCUGCAACUCGACUCCGUGAAGUUGGAAUCGCUAGUAAUCGUGGAUCAGCAUGCCACGGUGAAUACGUUCCCGGGCCUUGUACACACCGCCCGUCACACCACGAAAGUCUGCUGUACUCGAAGUCGCUGAG